AAGAAGCGGAAUUUUAUUCUGGAUCAG
This 27-nucleotide non-coding RNA is filed under the name Cricetulus griseus (Chinese hamster). Lineage: Eukaryota; Metazoa; Chordata; Mammalia; Rodentia; Cricetidae. The record is from RNAcentral.